GGAAUCUUAGCUCAGUUGGUUUAGAGCGCUGCUUUGACAGAGCAGAGGUCGGGGGUUCGAAUCCCUCAGGUUCCA
RNAcentral lists this transfer RNA (75 nucleotides) under Algoriphagus antarcticus. RNAcentral's name for it is "tRNA-Val". It matches the Rfam family "tRNA". Rfam says of the family: Transfer RNA (tRNA) molecules are approximately 80 nucleotides in length. Their secondary structure includes four short double-helical elements and three loops (D, anti-codon, and T loops). Lineage: Bacteria; Pseudomonadati; Bacteroidota; Cytophagia; Cytophagales; Cyclobacteriaceae. The record is from RNAcentral.